CCUUGGCUUGUGAGACAAGCCAAUUGGCUUUCCCAUCCCUCUCUUCACCCGUCUGCUUCCUCAAGAAGCUAAGUGGAUUUCUUAUUCUUCUCCUACACGCUGGGUUCAAGAGGCAAGAGAAAACAAAAUCCUCUCAUUUCCCUUUACCCCACUGACGGCUUCCAAGGCAAAAACUAGAAAAAACUCUUCUUCACUCCUCUUCACCGUCGAUUCCAAGACACACGAGGGAGAGAGCAACUCCUCAAGCUUUCAUCCACACGAAAAAAAACCCUUCGGUUCCUCCUAAGCACGCGACCUCUCUCAUUUCUUCAAGCCGAUCUCUCCCAUUUUUGUACACUUAAGCUUCCACAGAAAGUCUUCAAGGAAAGAUCCACCGUCCUAAAACUUUCGGAUUUUUCUUCCUUUUUUGUGGCUGUGCUUUCUGUGGCUUCAAGAGGGACCCAAUCAGGAGUCUAUUUCAACAAUCAAGGAACUUAAGUGUAAAGCAUCGAGGUAAGUAGUUAUGACCAUGCUCCUUACACACAAAGCUCUUUUAUGAAAAGGUCUCUCUCUCUCCUUCCAAAUGUUUCUCUUA
This is a long non-coding RNA of Juglans microcarpa x Juglans regia, 574 nucleotides long. RefSeq lists it as uncharacterized. Lineage: Eukaryota; Viridiplantae; Streptophyta; Magnoliopsida; Fagales; Juglandaceae. The transcript is spliced from 2 exons. The record is from RefSeq and is a predicted model, not a curated record.